CGCAACUUGCGCCCUCUGGUAUUCCGGAGGGCAUGCCUGUUUGAGUGUCAUGUGGACUCAAUCCCCCGGGGUUUCCGGGAAGGUUGGACCUGGGCGUUGCCGUCUCCCGGCUCGCCUCAAAUGUCUCAGUGGGGAUCGGCCCCCGUCGGGAGUAAUAAGUUUCUUCUGAUGGGGAUGGCUUGAUGAACCGCUCAUAACACGUGCCCUUCGGCACACCUUUUGACUCUGACCUCAAAUCAGGUAGGGCUACCCGCUGAACUUAA
Molecule: unclassified non-coding RNA, 263 nt
Filed under: Trimorphomycetaceae sp.
Lineage: Eukaryota; Fungi; Basidiomycota; Tremellomycetes; Tremellales; Trimorphomycetaceae
Description: partial contains 5.8S ribosomal RNA, internal transcribed spacer 2, and large subunit ribosomal RNA
Rfam family: 5.8S ribosomal RNA (bases 1-50)
Source: RNAcentral